AGCAGCCGCGGUAAUUCCAGCUCCAAUAGCGUAUAUUAAAGUUGUUGCAGUUAAAAGCUCGUAGUUGAAUUUCGGGGUUAGUAGGUUGGUCAUGCCUCUGGUAUGUACUGGUCUCACUGAUUCCUCCUUCCUGAUGAACCGUAAUGCCAUUAAUUUGGUGUUGCGGGGAAUUUGGACUGUUACUUUGAAAAAAUUAGAGUGUUUAAAGCAAGCUAACGCUUGAAUACAUUAGCAUGGAAUAAUGAAAUAGGACGUUCGAUCCUAUUUUGUUGGUUUCUAGGAUUGACGUAAUGAUUAAUAGGGAUAGUUGGGGGCAUUAGUAUUCAAUUGUCAGAGGUGAAAUUCUUGGAUUUAUUGAAGACUAACUACUGCGAAAGCAUUUGCCAAGGAUGUUUUCAUUAAUCAAGAACGAAAGUUAGGGGAUCGAAGACGAUCAGAUACCGUCGUAGUCUUAACCAUAAACUAUGCCGACUAGGGAUCGGAUGAUGUUAAUUUUUUCAAUGACUCAUUCGGCGCCUUA
RNAcentral lists this ribosomal RNA (520 nucleotides) under uncultured Glomus. RNAcentral describes it as "SSU rRNA". It matches the Rfam family "Eukaryotic small subunit ribosomal RNA", at positions 569 to 1090 of the family's 1831-position model. Lineage: Eukaryota; Fungi; Glomeromycota; Glomeromycetes; Glomerales; Glomeraceae. The record is from RNAcentral.